Molecule: long non-coding RNA, 435 nt
Filed under: Brassica rapa (field mustard)
Lineage: Eukaryota; Viridiplantae; Streptophyta; Magnoliopsida; Brassicales; Brassicaceae
Description: long non-coding RNA (BRAP_LNC005319)
Source: RNAcentral
UUUUAUGGUAAAUGAUCAUACAAGUUUAAUUUCAACCAGGACAUUUUUCCAAAACAUCAAAUGUAAAAGACCUUACAGCCAAAUUGCUCGAGGUGCGCAAAAGUUUCUUAACAUUUACACCAAAAAAAAAAUUGCUUGAGCUGCGCAAAAGUUUCAAUCAAAUAUAUAUGUUCUUGUACUGUUAGUAAUGUAUGUAGUGGUAAUAAAAUUUAUUGAUAUUAUAAAUUUUGAUCUCCAAUAAAAAAUGCAUAAAGAGUAUACAUUUCUUUCCUGCUGCUGAAUUUAUAUAAACUAAAGUUCCUUUUGACUGAAGAAGACCCCUUUAAAGUAAUGAACCUGAGCAACAAUUACAUUGUAAAACUUAAAUAAGCUUUAGUAUCCAACCCCACCUUCUGGUAUAAGAUAUAAAAACUUUUUGAGAGCGGUUGUUCUGUA